This 690-nucleotide ribosomal RNA is filed under the name uncultured bacterium. RNAcentral describes it as "bacterial SSU rRNA". It matches the Rfam family "Bacterial small subunit ribosomal RNA", at positions 89 to 775 of the family's 1533-position model. The record is from RNAcentral.
CGGCGAGCGGCGGACGGGUGAGUAAUGCCUGGGAAUAUGCCCUGAUGUGGGGGAUAACUAUUGGAAACGAUAGCUAAUACCGCAUAAUCUCUUCGGAGCAAAGAGGGGGACCUUCGGGCCUCUCGCGUCAGGAUUAGCCCAGGUGGGAUUAGCUUGUUGGUGAGGUAAUGGCUCACCAAGGCAACGAUCCCUAGCUGGUCUGAGAGGAUGAUCAGCCACACUGGAACUGAGACACGGUCCAGACUCCUACGGGAGGCAGCAGUGGGGAAUAUUGCACAAUGGGGGAAACCCUGAUGCAGCCAUGCCGCGUGUGUGAAGAAGGCCUUCGGGUUGUAAAGCACUUUCAGUAGGGAGGAAGGUAGUGUAGUUAACACCUGCAUUAUUUGACGUUACCUACAGAAGAAGCACCGGCUAACUCCGUGCCAGCAGCCGCGGUAAUACGGAGGGUGCGAGCGUUAAUCGGAAUUACUGGGCGUAAAGCGCAUGCAGGCGGCCUGUUAAGUCAGAUGUGAAAGCCCGGGGCUUAACCUCGGAAUUGCAUUUGAAACUGGCAGGCUAGAGUCUUGUAGAGGGGGGUAGAAUUUCAGGUGUAGCGGUGAAAUGCGUAGAGAUCUGAAGGAAUACCAGUGGCGAAGGCGGCCCCCUGGACAAAGACUGACGCUCAGAUGCGAAGGCGUGGGGAGCAAACAG